UUUCUGCAUCUGAAAAGAGGAUGAGAACCUCCGGGGUGGAGGUUCGACCCGAGCGCAGCGAGAGAACGUUGCUUCAGCAACGGCCCGCAGGGCGAGCCACGCAGUGGCGAGUCAUCCUCUGGCACCGACCA
RNAcentral lists this small RNA (131 nucleotides) under Enterobacter sp. EA-1. Its description in RNAcentral is "RtT sRNA". It matches the Rfam family "RtT RNA". From Rfam's summary of the family: This family represents a bacterial cis-regulatory element known as RtT RNA. The exact function of RtT is unknown although it is thought that it may be involved in changing the cellular response in relation to amino acid starvation. The record is from RNAcentral. Lineage: Bacteria; Pseudomonadati; Pseudomonadota; Gammaproteobacteria; Enterobacterales; Enterobacteriaceae.